GACGAACGCUGGCGGCGUGCUUAACACAUGCAAGUCGAGCGGUAAGGCCCUUUCGGGGGUACACGAGCGGCGAACGGGUGAGUAACACGUGGGUGACCUGCCCUCAGCUCUGGGAUAAGCCUGGGAAACCGGGGUCUAAUACCGGAUAUGACUCCAUGACGCAUGUUGUGGGGUGGAAAGCCUUGUGCGGCUGAGGAUGGGCCCGCGGCCUAUCAGCUUGUUGGUGGGGUGAUGGCCUACCAAGGCGACGACGGGUAGCCGGCCAGAGAGGGCGACCGGCCACACUGGGGACUGAGACACGGGCCCAGACUCCUACGGGAGGCAGCAGUGGGGAAUCUUGCGCAAUGGGCGAAAGCCUGACGCAGCGACG
RNAcentral lists this ribosomal RNA (370 nucleotides) under uncultured bacterium. RNAcentral's name for it is "bacterial SSU rRNA". It matches the Rfam family "Bacterial small subunit ribosomal RNA", at positions 28 to 396 of the family's 1533-position model. The record is from RNAcentral.